AGCUUUAGGCAGUGGUGUAUCAUAGCCAAUGAGGUUUAUCCAAUGGCUAAUUGAAAAAUUUUCCCAUACCCUGCCGUGAUGACUUGCAAUAUAGUUGGCACUGGCAAUUUUUGACAGUCUCUAUGGAGA
Molecule: small nuclear RNA, 129 nt
Filed under: Carlito syrichta (Philippine tarsier)
Lineage: Eukaryota; Metazoa; Chordata; Mammalia; Primates; Tarsiidae
Description: U4 spliceosomal RNA (ENSTSYG00000033402.1)
Rfam family: U4 spliceosomal RNA
About the family: U4 small nuclear RNA (U4 snRNA) is a component of the major U2-dependent spliceosome. The structure of U4 snRNA from yeast and human has been reported. U4 snRNA presents a k-turn RNA motif in the 5p-SL related to recognition of Snu13 protein.
Source: Rfam by way of RNAcentral